AAAAUUAUAGUGAGAGAGAGAUUAGAAUGGUAUCUUUACUAUGAAACACAAUCACAUGCCCACUCAUUCCUUUUUCUUGUUCAAUUCUUACAUUUUUUUCAAGUCUUCUUUUUGUCUUCUUUGUGAAUAUCUCACUCUUAAUCAUUGUAAAUGGGAUUCAACGAAUUCAGGGUAAUGCUAAUUACAGGCCAUAUUGCGCACAGUUUGUGUUCUAGUGUGGUAGCUCUAUGGCAACUCAGCUCUUCUGUUGAGUGUUAAUCGGCGAAUCAAUAAUGGCUGCCUCAAGUGAUAAAGACAAGAUGGGGGAGACAGCUGCUUCAGAUCGUGCUCUUGAAGUGUCAGUUUCAUUUGGUAGAUUUGAGAAUGAUUCAUUGUCUUGGGAGAAAUGGUCAUCUUUCUCAAAGAAUAAGUACAUGGAGGAAGUUGAGAAGUGUGCCACACCUGGAUCUGUGGCUGAGAAAAAGGCCUACUUUGAAGCUCAUUACAAAAAGAUUGCUGCCAGAAAGGCUGAGCAGAUGGGUGAACAUGACUCACUAGGGUCAUAUGACCAAAAUGGCGGAGAUCUCAUUGAAAAAGCUCGUGGGACAGAUUCUGAAUUUGAUAUUCCCAAUUGCCUAACUUCUGCUGAAGGGACUGAGCAAGAAACCAAAUUGAAUAGUGAGUUGGGUUCUGGCCAAGUUGAUGAGGAUGAUGAAGAUGCUGCAAUCAAUGUGGAAGGUCAAGGCUCUUCAAUUGAAAGAUUGGAAGAAGUACUGGGUAGCAGAUUAGAUGGCUUCACAUUAAACAAGCCAGAAGAAGCUGCUUUAGCUAAAGAAGAGAAAACUUUGUGCACAGAGUCUCAGGUAACAAAGGACUCGCCAAAGAACUUGGACAAAGAGAAAGAAAGGAUUGCUGUAAUUAAAGAGGAAAAUUUGAAGUUAGAUCAUCAUAAGGAGUCUCAAAAGACUUCUCCAAUGAGUAAGAUAAGAGAUAUGACGAGGGUAAAGAAGAAACCGGCAUCACCUGUAGCUAAAUCGCCCCAAGUUUCCACCCCAAAGGUCCCAAAGACAAUGCCAACUUCUAGCACAUUGUCCAUGUUGCAGCCUUCAACGAAGAAAGUAACUGAUUCAGCCUUAGCGAAGGGUAACAAUCCAUCCAUGGAAGAAAGCAAGAAAGCGGCUCCUAAAUCCUUGCACAUGUCUCUUAGUCUGGAUGCUCCAAAUUCUGGUCCAGCUGCUCAUGCGCCAGCUCCUAUGACAACCACUCGAAAAUCAUUUAUUAUGGAGAAAAUGAAGGAUAAGGACAUUGUCAAACGAGCUUUCAAGACAUUCCAAAACAAUUUAAACCAGUUGAAGGCUUCUGCUGAAGAGAGAUCUUUGGGAGCAAAGCAGGUGCCCACAAAGGGGACAGAAGCUAAGGUUUCCUAUUCUAUGACUCCUCAAAAGGAGAAUGCAGGAGUUGCAUUGAAUGUUUUUGAUAGGUCUUUCAAAGCUGCCAGUAUGGAUAAAAAAAUUGGCAAGGCAGGCCCGUCUUCUUUUGGCUUGAAAAGUGAUGAAAGGGCAGAGAAAAGGAAAGAGUUUUCUAAGAAAUGGGACGAGAAAUCAAAAGCUAAAGAGGCAAAGAGUAAGCGCCUCCAAACAAAAUCAAAGCAGGAAAAAGAGGUGGAGAUAAGAAAGCUAAGACAGAGCCUUAAUUUCAAAGCCACACCCAUGCCAGGUUUUUAUCGGGGACAAAAAGUGUCAAAAAGCCCUUUAGAUAAGGAGGGUUCUAAGACACUUGAGAUAUAAAAGCAUUCAUCAUCUACCAAAAACAGAUGAUAUUAUGAAAUGUCUAAAGCAAAUGGCAGUGGGUGUGCCAUCUGCAUUGGUCUACUACUUCUGCUUCAGAAGCUGCAUUUAUGGGCAUGGGCAACAUAUAUGGAAGAACUGUUAUUCCAGUUAGGAUAAUCUCACCAGGCAAACAUAAAAAUGCAACUGAUUAGUCACCAUUUGUAUACUGAAUUGCUACAAGAAAAAAAAAAAAAAAAGGGUAUGUCAUAGAGCAUACUUGCUAGAUAGGGCUUGUUAAUAAUGUUUCAGGACAGGUUUGGAUGACUUCUCUCACGCCUGCCUCUCCAGAUGCAUUAUAUUGGAGAAAUUUGUCACACAAGAAUAGAAAUUGAUUUCUGCUGCUGGUGUUAUUUUCUGUGCACUGCAGAUCAAUGUAACCUCUGCUGCCUCAAAUAAAGCCUCUGGCACUCUAUACAUAAGCAAUUCCUUGAUGUGCAACGAAAUUGUAUAUCCGAACCAACCUAGUUCCAGCUUAUUCCUUGAUAUACAAUAAAAGGGUAAAUAGCUUUCCUUCUUUAAUUCGGAUCUCUAUCCCAGACCAACUCAAAUUACCCAUUUCUGCUCAAAAUGGAGACAAUUGGUUGGAGAAAUCACAAGGGUUUUUGCUCUGUCAAGUUCAAGCAGUUAGAAAAUGGACGGCAAAGGCCAUGGGAUGCUCCUUUGGCCCUCUUUUUUUUUUUUUUUUUAUGAGUUCGCUAAAUUAUCGCCACGUCUAACAUGUGAUAAAAUUAUCUUGGAUUGGAUCUGACUUCCAUAGUGAUGGCUAAGAAUUCAGUGAUUAUUUAUAUUAAUUAUCACUCAUGAAUGAAGAAUCUAAUAGAAUAUAGUUCUCUC
This is an RNA transcript of Hevea brasiliensis (rubber tree), 2642 nucleotides long. It is a transcript of the gene named protein WVD2-like 7, with no coding region annotated. The transcript is spliced from 10 exons. The record is from RefSeq and is a predicted model, not a curated record. Lineage: Eukaryota; Viridiplantae; Streptophyta; Magnoliopsida; Malpighiales; Euphorbiaceae.